UACGGGGGGAGCAAGCGUUGUUCGGAUUUACUGGGCGUAAAGUGUGCGCAGGCGGCGUUGCAAGUCGAGUGUGAAAUCCCCGAGCUUAACUUGGGAAUUGCGCUCGAAACUACGAUGCUCGAGUGUGGCAGAGGAAGGUGGAAUUCCACGUGUAGCGGUGAAAUGCGUAGAGAUGUGGAGGAACACCGAUGGCGAAGGCAGCCUUCUGGGCCAACACUGACGCUCAUGCACGAAAGCGUGGGGAGCGAACGGG
This 253-nucleotide ribosomal RNA is filed under the name uncultured bacterium. RNAcentral's name for it is "partial 16S ribosomal RNA". It matches the Rfam family "Bacterial small subunit ribosomal RNA", at positions 524 to 776 of the family's 1533-position model. The record is from RNAcentral.